Molecule: long non-coding RNA, 416 nt
Organism: Acanthochromis polyacanthus (spiny chromis)
Lineage: Eukaryota; Metazoa; Chordata; Actinopteri; Pomacentridae
Exons: 3
Source: RefSeq, a predicted model, not a curated record
UCAGAGCUCUGGUCAUGACAGCAUUUUUGUGCAUCAGCUGGUAUCCCAGAUCUCCUUCCACACAGGAGUCAACAGUGGACCAGGAGACGGAGGGAGCGUACAGCUGGAGACACUGAGGCGACAACACAGAGGUAGUAACAGCGUACAAUCAGAUACAAAAGAGCCAGUACAUGACAAGCAAGAGUUGUCAUUUUAUUUCCUUCAGGCUCUCCGUGCUGACAACUGAAGGGUGAAUUUGCUGAUGGAAAUUCCUACAAGAGAUGGAGGCGUGUGCAGGAUCUGCUAUGCAUAAACAGAGGCCAGAAUAUCCCACCUGAGCGUUCCCAUAAGGCACCAGAGUGACGGCCAUGAUGUCCUGCAGCAUCAUCCAGGUGGGGAACAGCUGCUGGGUAAUGAACAGUCUGCAGUCUGGACAC